RNAcentral lists this ribosomal RNA (437 nucleotides) under Rhynchostegium rotundifolium. Its description in RNAcentral is "eukaryotic LSU rRNA". The stretch from base 1 to 119 matches the Rfam family "5.8S ribosomal RNA", at positions 35 to 154 of the family's 154-position model. The record is from RNAcentral. Lineage: Eukaryota; Viridiplantae; Streptophyta; Bryopsida; Hypnales; Brachytheciaceae.
GAUGAAGAACGCAGCGAAAUGCGAUACGUAGUGUGAAUUGCAGAAUUCCGCGAAUCAUCGAGUCUUUGAACGCAAGUUGCGCCCGAGGCUUGUCCGAGGGCAUUUCCGCUAGAGCGUCACCGCGCCCCCCACCGAUCCGCUCCCGCCGCGAGGCGCCAGUCGGUUCGAGUGGAAGUGGCCGUCCCGGUCGCGUGGAGCGAGCGAGGGUCGGCUGAAAUGGAUGGAAUCGGGCCGCCGUGGUGACACAGUCCGCGAUCGGGUGAUUUUCCGCGAGCCUCCCCCGGGAGGGUCGCCGCGAAUUUUUCUAAGUGCGUGGCUGCGUCCCCCAGUUGGUUUCGGCUCCCUCGUGCAGGUCGUGCGCGCCCCCGCGGCGCGCGUCACGCAUCAGACCUCUAAUCGGAAAAGACUACCCGCUGAGUUUAAGCAUAUCAAUAAGC